CGCGGGUGACACACACAGGAAGUAGAAGGAGUCAGGGACCUGUUUGAUACUGUCUUAACAGUACGAGCGUUUUUUGCAAAAAGAACACUGUACUGCACGCGUGACAUGAAUUUUGGGACGGAGGGAGUAGUAGUUUAGUGUAGGACUUGCAAGAAGAGAGCUACCGUAGUAUAUUCCUCUUCUUCCCUCUUCUCUUUCUGUUAUCUUUCUCUUUUCUCUUCUCUUUCAAAGGAAACCAAAUGGCUCCAAACGAAUUUUUUCCUUAACUGAAUAUAACUGAAACUUGUCGAAUGAUCAAGUGAUCAAAUGAUCGAGUGACCAAUUGACAAAAUGAUCAAAUG
RNAcentral lists this long non-coding RNA (341 nucleotides) under Hordeum vulgare. Its description in RNAcentral is "long non-coding RNA (HVUL_LNC000805)". The record is from RNAcentral. Lineage: Eukaryota; Viridiplantae; Streptophyta; Magnoliopsida; Poales; Poaceae.